Long non-coding RNA from Bos taurus (domestic cattle), 1247 nucleotides. NCBI's taxonomy places the organism in Eukaryota, Metazoa, Chordata, Mammalia, Artiodactyla, Bovidae. The record is from Ensembl.
CUCCAAAAUAGCCCGGGAGUCACUGCCCCAGAUUGGGUCUCACCCCUGGCCCCAGGGAGGCAGCGGGCAGAGGCUCAGGGCUGCUGGGGGAGGGGGGCCUGUGUGUGCCCGUGAUGUGUGCCCCCUGCUUGUGGGGACCCCUCAGACCAGCAUCCGGGAGCGCAGGGAGGGACAGAAAAAGGGGGAUCCAGGACCACUCAUAGGAGGACCCAGGACCACCACCCAGAGGGGAGCAGAGCCACCCCAAGAUGACCACUCACCAGAGAAUGCUGCAACCUUUAGGUUGAGAUGAGCAGCUGUGAGCCUAGCACAGGUGCCCAAGAUGCUACAAGUUCAACAUGAAGCUGCUCUGAGGACCAGCCUGACUCCACACUGCUUGCAGACAAGUCCCUGGUUACCAGCUACAAUCAACGGAUCCAUACACCGCUGUGCACUCGAAAGAUGCCUUCUCUCCUGGGUAUUCUCCAUCUCUGCAGGGAAGAUGCCUAGCACCCAAGCAAUGUAUUUUUCAACAAUCCACAUACUUGUUGCACCCCGUGAAACCCCCGUCGGUCACCCUCAUCAUCUUUGGCAGAGAGAAUGGAUAACUGUCACCCACCAGGACCUCUUUGACUAAAUCAUCUACCUAUCGAUCUGGAGGGACCGUAUGCCUCAAGGAUCCUGGACCCUGUCUUCUUCAGCUAGCCUGAGACUCUGGUACCAACAUUCCCAUGAGCAGAGGAAUAAAUGCGAAACCAAGUGGGUCCCCCGGGUGUCUCCAAUGUUACCACGUACAAGUCUUGUGUGAUCAUGUCAAAAGUCUGUGCUUUCAGUGCAGUUGUGAAGAUGGAAGUCGUAUAUUCUGGGGAGAAAGAGGGUUUUAUUUCCCUUCUGAACAUUUUAAAGGGAAAACAUUUAUGAUGUUUGAUCAGCUUAUGAAUAACACAGAUGAAGGAAAUGCAAACUCUCAUCAUAUGGAAAACAAACACACAUAAUAACACUUCUUAGUGUUUCGUAUCAAGAGUUUAUUGGAUCUUGCCCCCCCCAAAAUUUUUUUUUUUAAUUUUACAGCAGAAACCUGAGGCUCAGAGAAGCUAGAACUUUGUUUAGGUUUAUACAACUGACCGUGCUUAACCAAGUUUCUCCUGAGAAUAAACGACAAAGUCUGUAAAACCAGGGAGAUGUAACAGCUCAAUGCAUCACCACAGCCUGCAUAACAUCCUGGAACAAAAAGGGGACAUUAAUGGGAAAGCUGGUGAAAUCCAAAU